This 324-nucleotide ribosomal RNA is filed under the name uncultured eukaryote. RNAcentral's name for it is "partial 18S ribosomal RNA". It matches the Rfam family "Eukaryotic small subunit ribosomal RNA", at positions 1470 to 1796 of the family's 1831-position model. The record is from RNAcentral.
CCCUUAGAUGUUCUGGGCCGCACGCGCGCUACACUGAUGCAUUCAACGAGUUUCUUCCUGGUCCGAGAGGAAUGGGUAACCUUUUGAAAGUGCAUCGUGAUAGGGAUAGACUAUUGCAAUUAUUGGUCUUCAACGAGGAAUUCCUAGUAGACGUAGUUCAUCAGACUGCAUCGAUUACGUCCCUGCCCUUUGUACACACCGCCCGUCGCUCCUACCGAUUGAAUGCUCAGGUGAGCCAUUCGGACCUUCAUCAUGCCGGUUUCCGGUUUUGAUGAGGGAAAGUCUUGUGAACCUUAUCAUUUAGAGGAAGGAGAAGUCGUAACA